RNAcentral lists this transfer RNA (70 nucleotides) under Dallia pectoralis (Alaska blackfish). Its description in RNAcentral is "tRNA-OTHER". Lineage: Eukaryota; Metazoa; Chordata; Actinopteri; Esociformes; Umbridae. The record is from RNAcentral.
GGCAAGGUGGCCUAGUGGUUAGGGAAUACUGCUUGGGACUGGAAGGUCCCUGGUUCUAAUCCCCCCACCA